Molecule: non-coding RNA, 29 nt
Filed under: Rattus norvegicus (Norway rat)
Lineage: Eukaryota; Metazoa; Chordata; Mammalia; Rodentia; Muridae
Source: RNAcentral
UCCCACAAUUUAUGCAGGGAAGUUCUACC